RNAcentral lists this transfer RNA (91 nucleotides) under Candidatus Omnitrophota bacterium. RNAcentral describes it as "tRNA-Ser". It matches the Rfam family "tRNA". From Rfam's summary of the family: Transfer RNA (tRNA) molecules are approximately 80 nucleotides in length. Their secondary structure includes four short double-helical elements and three loops (D, anti-codon, and T loops). Further hydrogen bonds mediate the characteristic L-shaped molecular structure. tRNAs have two regions of fundamental functional importance: the anti-codon, which is responsible for specific mRNA codon recognition, and the 3' end, to which the tRNAs corresponding amino acid is attached (by aminoacyl-tRNA synthetases). tRNAs cope with the degeneracy of the genetic code in two manners: having more than one tRNA (with a specific anti-codon) for a particular amino acid; and 'wobble' base-pairing, i.e. permitting non-standard base-pairing at the 3rd anti-codon position. Lineage: Bacteria; Pseudomonadati; Candidatus Omnitrophota. The record is from RNAcentral.
GGAGAGGUGCCUGAGUGGUUGAAAGGAGCUCCCUGCUAAGGAGUUGAUCCUAUUGCUGGAUCCCAGGGUUCGAAUCCCUGCCUCUCCGCCA